Molecule: ribosomal RNA, 254 nt
Filed under: uncultured bacterium
Lineage: Bacteria
Description: partial 16S ribosomal RNA
Rfam family: Bacterial small subunit ribosomal RNA
Source: RNAcentral
UACGUAGGGGGCAAGCGUUGUCCGGAUUUAUUGGGCGUAAAGAGCUCGUAGGCGGCUCAGUAAGUCGGGUGUGAAAACUCCAGGCUCAACCUGGAGACGCCACCUGAUACUGCUGUGGCUAGAGUCCGGAAGAGGAGAAUGGAAUUCCAGGUGUAGCGGUGAAAUGCGCAGAUAUCAGGAAGAACACCCGUGGCUAAGGCGGUUCUCUAGUACGGUACUGACGCUGAGACGCGAAAGCGUGGGGAGCGAACAGG